RNAcentral lists this ribosomal RNA (484 nucleotides) under uncultured bacterium. Its description in RNAcentral is "partial 16S ribosomal RNA". It matches the Rfam family "Bacterial small subunit ribosomal RNA", at positions 28 to 507 of the family's 1533-position model. The record is from RNAcentral.
AUUGAACGCUGGCGGCAUGCUUUACACAUGCAAGUCGAACGGCAGCGCGGGCUUCGGCCUGGCGGCGAGUGGCGAACGGGUGAGUAAUGCAUCGGAACGUGCCCAGUAGUGGGGGAUAGCCCGGCGAAAGCCGGAUUAAUACCGCAUACGACCUGAGGGUGAAAGCGGGGGACCGUCAGACCUCGCGCUAUUGGAGCGGCCGAUGUCGGAUUAGCUAGUUGGUGGGGUAAAGGCUUACCAAGGCGACGAUCCGUAGCUGGUCUGAGAGGACGACCAGCCACACUGGGACUGAGACACGGCCCAGACUCCUACGGGAGGCAGCAGUGGGGAAUUUUGGACAAUGGGGGCAACCCUGAUCCAGCCAUGCCGCGUGCGGGAAGAAGGCCUUCGGGUUGUAAACCGCUUUUGUUCGGGAAGAAAACCUCUGGGCUAAUACCCCGGUGGGAUGACGGUACCGGAAGAAUAAGCACCGGCUAACUACGUG